CCGCCCCGCUUGUCCGUCUCCUUCAUUUUUAUCUUGCUCAUGCCUGGUCUGCGCGACCAUGGCGUUCCACGAGUAGCCCCGCGCUGCCCGGUCGGCGCUCUACUCCCUUGAGCCCGUCAGGGCCCUCACCUACUCCACCAUCCCCAACGCGCCGCCUCUCCUCCCAUGGCGCGACUCACUCCAUGUCCGCUUUAGCCCAGCGGAGGCCCCCGACCUCGGCUGCCUACCAGCGGCCUGCCGGGACGCGCUGCAAGAGUACUAGCACUCGCUGACGGAGUUCUGGUUGGGGAUUGGAAUCCCUCCGUCGCGGUCUGCUCUUGGGGUGGUCGCCGGCGUGGAGGCUGUAGGCGUGAAUAGAGUGCGUUCCUGCGUUCGCGGAUGAAGCAGGCGAUAGUCUUGCUGCCCUGCAGAAUACGCCGUGGAGGGAGGGGUGUUGGAGUUCGGAACUGUGAUAGGGGCUAGUUCAAGCUGUAGCUGCCGACCGCGCAUUCUACUUUCGCGGAUGAAGCGGGCGAUGGUGUUGCUGCCCUGCAGACCAUGAGGAGACGUGGUGCCGUUCAUCCUGCUAAUUUUGGUGGUGUGAAGGCUGCCGGUUUUGGUGGAGUAGCGAGGUUGAUGUGUGGUGUGGACUGAACUGAAAGUGUCAUGACAACCUUCCAAAGAACAAAGGUGACAUGGUGCAUGUCUGCACAAAGAAAACAACAGUUGUUACCCUACAGUGGCUGCAGAAGGGGGCUAUCGCAUAGUUGAUGGGUGUGGAACACACUCAUGAUCUUUACUCUCAGGAUCUUGUCGCGGCAGAGGUUUAUGCACUCUGAGAUUGGUGACAUCAUGGUUGUAUUCAGGCUACUUGAUUCCGGCUAACAGAGGUACGCGAUGGGGAUGGAAGAGUGUUGAAGUACCUGGCACCAUUUGAUUCGUAGGUCGCUGGCUUCUGGAACUGCCGGCGCGAUGCUCCCCACCGCGAUGGUUGCCCUCCGCCGCUCAGGAGCCUCGCAACAUGUAACUGCGGCGAUGCGCAGUGUUGUUUGUUUUGACUGGAUUUUAUACUAGGCAAGGAAAAUAGGAGAUGGUUUGUCACGAUCUCGAGUUGAAUGGAGGAGCAUAUAGCCCACUAAUGGGCCUUCAGGACCCCUGGAAGCCUUCUCUUUGUAGAGCCCGAUGAGCCAUCCAGCCCUUUCAGCACGGUCGCGAAGCACAGCAGAAGCGAGGCCACUAAUGGGCCGACAGAACCACUGGCAUGCUUGGCGUUGUAUUGGGCCCGAUGGGCCUAGCACAUUCGAUAUGGUUGUAUACUGUUUUGCUUGACUAUUUUUAAUAUUUUAUGUGUUUGGCUUAGUCCUUUUUUAUCUUAUUUUUUUGCUAAUUGUUUAUCUUUGUGUGUAUGUUUUUGAAUAUAUUGCAAUAUGUAUAUUUGUCCAAGAUUGAUUGGAGUCACUA
Panicum hallii is the source of this 1440-nucleotide long non-coding RNA. RefSeq lists it as uncharacterized. The record is from RefSeq and is a predicted model, not a curated record. NCBI's taxonomy places the organism in Eukaryota, Viridiplantae, Streptophyta, Magnoliopsida, Poales, Poaceae. The transcript is spliced from 5 exons.